UCCUACGGGGGGGCAGCAGGCGCGAAAACUUUACAAUGCGGGAAACCGUGAUAAGGGGACACCGAGUGCUAGCAUCAUAUGCUGGCUGUCCAGGUGUGUAAAAUACACCUGUUAGCAAGGGCCGGGCAAGACCGGUGCCAGCCGCCGCGGUAACACCGGCGGCCCGAGUGGUGAUCGUGAUUAUUGGGUCUAAAGGGUCCGUAGCCGGUUUGGUCAGUCCUCCGGGAAAUCUGACAGCUCAACUGUUAGGCUUUCGGGGGAUACUGCCAGACUUGGAACCGGGAGAGGUAAGAGGUACUACAGGGGUAGGAGUGAAAUCUUGUAAUCCCUGUGGGACCACCUGUGGCGAAGGCGUCUUACCAGAACGGGUUCGACGGUGAGGGACGAAAGCUGGGGGCACGAACCGGAUUAGAUACCCGGGUAGUCCCAGCCGUAAACGAUGCUCGCUAGGUGUCAGGCAUGGCGCGACCGUGUCUGGUGCCGCAGGGAAGCCGUGAAGCGAGCCACCUGGGAAGUACGGCCGCAAGGCUGAAACUUAAAGGAAUUGGCGGGGGAGCACAACAACGGGUGGAGCCUGCGGUUUAAUUGGACUCAACGCCGGACAACUCACCGGGGACGACAGCAAUAUGUAGGCCAGGCUGAAGACCUUGCCUGAAUCGCUGAGAGGAGGUGCAUGGCCGUCGCCAGUUCGUACUGUGAAGCAUCCUGUUAAGUCAGGCAACGAGCGAGACCCGUGCCCACUGUUACCAGCAUGUCCUCCGGGAUGAUGGGUACUCUGUGGGGACCGCCGGUGUUAAAUCGGAGGAAGGUGCGGGCUACGGUAGGUCAGUAUGCCCCGAAUUUCCCGGGCUACACGCGGGCUACAAUGAAUGGGACAAUGGGCCCCUCCCUGAAAGGGCUGGUAUCUCACAAACCCAUCCUUAGUUCGGAUCGAGGGCUGUACUCGCCUCGUGAGCUGGAAUCCGUAGUAAUCGCGUUUCAAUAUAGCGCGGUGAUACGUCCUGUCUG
RNAcentral lists this ribosomal RNA (1008 nucleotides) under Methanosarcina sp. 48. RNAcentral's name for it is "bacterial SSU rRNA". It matches the Rfam family "Archaeal small subunit ribosomal RNA", at positions 321 to 1332 of the family's 1478-position model. Lineage: Archaea; Methanobacteriati; Methanobacteriota; Methanomicrobia; Methanosarcinales; Methanosarcinaceae. The record is from RNAcentral.